This 74-nucleotide transfer RNA is filed under the name Ixodes scapularis (black-legged tick). RNAcentral describes it as "tRNA-Ser for anticodon GGA". The record is from RNAcentral. Lineage: Eukaryota; Metazoa; Arthropoda; Arachnida; Ixodida; Ixodidae.
CUCCUGGUUAACUGAGUUGGUAGAGCGCUCCGCUGGAAAUGGAGGGGUCCCUGGUUCGAAUCAGGGCUAGGCGG